This 253-nucleotide ribosomal RNA is filed under the name uncultured bacterium. Its description in RNAcentral is "partial 16S ribosomal RNA". It matches the Rfam family "Bacterial small subunit ribosomal RNA", at positions 524 to 776 of the family's 1533-position model. The record is from RNAcentral.
UACAGAGGGUGCAAGCGUUAAUCGGAGUUACUGGGCGUAAAGGGCGCGUAGGCGGUUGUUUAAGUUAGAUGUGAAAUCCCUGGGCUUAACCUAGGAACUGCAUCUGAUACUGGAUGACUAGAGUACUGUAGAGGGUAGUGGAAUUUCCGGUGUAGCGGUGAAAUGCGUAGAGAUCGGAAGGAACACCAGUGGCGAAGGCGGCUACCUGGACAGAUACUGACGUUGAGGCGCGAGAGCGUGGGGAGCAAACAGG